CGUAGGUGGCAAGCGUUGUCCGGAUUUAUUGGGUUUAAAGGGUGCGUAGGCGGUUCUGUAAGUCAGUGGUGAAAUCCGGCAGCUCAACUGUCGAUGUGCCAUUGAUACUGCAGAACUUGAGUACAGACGAGGUAGGCGGAAUCGACGGUGUAGCGGUGAAAUGCUUAGAUAUCGUCAAGAACACCGAUAGCGAAGGCAGCUUACUAGACUGUAACUGACGCUGAUGCACGAAAGUGUGGGGAUCAAACAGGAUUAGAUACCCUGGUAGUCCACACUGUAAACGAUGAUUACUCGAUGUUAGCGAUACACAGUUAGCGUCUUAGCGAAAGCGAUAAGUAAUCCGCCUGGGGAGUACGCCGGCAACGGUG
This 368-nucleotide ribosomal RNA is filed under the name uncultured organism. RNAcentral's name for it is "bacterial SSU rRNA". It matches the Rfam family "Bacterial small subunit ribosomal RNA", at positions 526 to 896 of the family's 1533-position model. The record is from RNAcentral.